UAUGAUUAUUAAAUAUUAAUUUAAAAAGGAAAAUAUAGAUAAACCCAAAAAAUUUAAAUACUUAUCAUGUAAAAUAUUUAAUAAUUGUAUUGUGUAAUAAAAAAUUACAGUAAUUUCAUAAAAAAAGAACUGGCAAAUAACAAAACCUUUUUUUAAUCACAAACGAAUAAAAUAAAACUGUCAAAAAAUAUCGUCAUUCACGCACAAUGUAAAAUUAUUUAUUGUUUAUUUUAUUUAUCAUACCUUUCGAAGAAGUGAAAAUUUUCCGCAACAGUAUGCUUCAGACCAUGUAGUGUGGUUUCCUUACAGAAAAUUGAAUAAACAUUGUACACUUUAGCUAUGGAGACCUUAAUCGAUUCCAUAAUCGAUUUCUUACGAGUGAGGCAGCUUAACAUCGCGGUAGGUCGCGGCACUAUUAACAAUGAUUUACAUGAUGUAUCAAUACCGUGCGGUGCUCUUCAAGAUCGAAAGCGAAGAUGGCGUCCGAAGUCGACGGUCCAGCAGAAUGUCUAGAUCGCGAACCAGAUCUCGAUCAAGAUCAAGAACGAGGCAAGGAAGCCACGACUACAAAGUGUCAGAUACGAAACACGGGCGUCGGGGUCGAAAACCAACACGGCGCUGCCCAGACUGUAGCCUCUGUAACUUUGAUGAUUAAUCUUGAUCCGUGCCUAGACAAACAACGAGCCCGAUAGAUAAUCUAAAUGAGUUAUCAUUUUAUCAGUUUCGAUAUUAAAAUUAUAAUGCGUGCUAUUUAUUAUUGUUAACAUUGUUUAAGUAAAAGAUUUUCGCUGUUAUUGUUUUUCUUUUUUACCCUGAUUGUUUUUACCAAACGGCUCAAAAAGGAGGUUCUUAAUUCGAUAUUUUUUUGUGUUACCUACCUCAUAGCUCUUAACAGUUUGUUACUGAAUUUAUUUUUUUAUUUAUUUAUUCUUUAUUGUACACCACAUAGAGUCAUUUAAUACAGAAUUGUAAAGAAAAAAAGAAGUACAAUGCACAAUGAGGCGGCCUUAUCGCUCGAUAGCGAUUUCUUCACGGCAACCUUAGGGUUAGGAUUAGAGGAAAAAAAAAUAAGUAGGUGGUGUAUAAUAAACGUACAUCAAACAUUGAAUGAAUUUAUCGAUUCUUUUUCAUUCUAAAGUUGGUGCUUGUCGUGUGCUCUAAUGAAAUACCAGCUGUGCCCGCG
RNAcentral lists this unclassified non-coding RNA (1183 nucleotides) under Melitaea cinxia (Glanville fritillary). RNAcentral describes it as "misc RNA ENSMCXG00005000079.1". The record is from RNAcentral. Lineage: Eukaryota; Metazoa; Arthropoda; Insecta; Lepidoptera; Nymphalidae.